GGGCGAUUAGCUCAGCGGGAGAGCACCUGGAUCACAACCAGGGGGUCACUGGUUCAAUCCCAGUAUCGCCCA
Molecule: transfer RNA, 72 nt
Filed under: Candidatus Erginobacter occultus
Lineage: Bacteria; Pseudomonadati; Candidatus Auribacterota; Candidatus Erginobacteria; Candidatus Erginobacterales; Candidatus Erginobacteraceae
Also listed under: 1 other name
Description: tRNA-Val
Rfam family: tRNA
About the family: Transfer RNA (tRNA) molecules are approximately 80 nucleotides in length. Their secondary structure includes four short double-helical elements and three loops (D, anti-codon, and T loops). Further hydrogen bonds mediate the characteristic L-shaped molecular structure. tRNAs have two regions of fundamental functional importance: the anti-codon, which is responsible for specific mRNA codon recognition, and the 3' end, to which the tRNAs corresponding amino acid is attached (by aminoacyl-tRNA synthetases). tRNAs cope with the degeneracy of the genetic code in two manners: having more than one tRNA (with a specific anti-codon) for a particular amino acid; and 'wobble' base-pairing, i.e. permitting non-standard base-pairing at the 3rd anti-codon position.
Source: RNAcentral